GCCCGACUGGCGCAAUUGGAUAACGCGCCAAGACCUCUAAUCUGGUGAUUGUGGGUUCGAGUCCCACGUCGGUAUACA
This 78-nucleotide transfer RNA is filed under the name Rhizophagus irregularis DAOM 181602=DAOM 197198. Its description in RNAcentral is "tRNA-Arg (TCT) (tRNA-Arg-TCT-2-1)". It matches the Rfam family "tRNA". From Rfam's summary of the family: Transfer RNA (tRNA) molecules are approximately 80 nucleotides in length. Their secondary structure includes four short double-helical elements and three loops (D, anti-codon, and T loops). Lineage: Eukaryota; Fungi; Glomeromycota; Glomeromycetes; Glomerales; Glomeraceae. The record is from RNAcentral.